AGUAACGCGUGAGGAACCUGCCUUGGAGUGGGGAAUAACAGCCAGAAAUGGCUGCUAAUACCGCAUAAUGCAGUUGGGUCGCAUGGCUCUGACUGCCAAAGAUUUAUCGCUCUAAGAUGGCCUCGCGUCUGAUUAGUUUGUUGGCGGGGUAACGGCCCACCAAGACGACGAUCAGUAGCCGGACUGAGAGGUUGGCCGGCCACAUUGGGACUGAGACACGGCCCAGACUCCUACGGAAGGCAGCAG
Molecule: ribosomal RNA, 246 nt
Filed under: uncultured bacterium
Lineage: Bacteria
Description: partial 16S ribosomal RNA
Rfam family: Bacterial small subunit ribosomal RNA
Source: RNAcentral